UUAUUUAUGUGUCCUUGGGUAAUUUUUGUAUCGCAUUCUUAUUUAAUUUCCUUUCAUUACAGGUUAGCGGAAAAUUCGUUGAAGAUACAGAACAGAGGAGAAAUAUGCAAUUUAAGGACAUGUUUUGCAGGAUGUUGGUGUGGCAUCUGCGCCACGCAAUUGCUCUUUAUUUAUGCAAUGGCGUCAGGAGAUGGAGACGGCAUCAUAAAAUUGUCGGUUUUUUGUAUCUAUAAUCGCAAAAGUUAGCGAUUUUGUUUUGCUAUAGUGAGGCCCGUCUCCUGAUUUACGUGCGCAUCAUCGGCAGGAUGAGGGCGAAUUUUUGUAUCUGCUGGAUUGCCUGUCAGGUUGUCGGGAAGUCAUUGAGAAAACGGUAUUGCGGAGAUUUAUACAAUUUGGAGACGGAUUUUAAUUCAUUUUAAUAUGAAGUUAGUUCCGGGAUAGUGAUCCUUGUGAGUGCAGUGGCAUCAGGAGAUGGAGACGGCGUUGUAAGGUUGUCAGUUUUUUGUGUUUAUAAUCGCGAAAGGUGGCGAUUUUGUUUUUCUUUUGCGGAGCCGGUCUUCUCUUGAUGGUUGUGUUGGAUCACCAGUUGGCUCUGGUUAUUGAGGUUUUAGCGUCAACUAAUGUAGGCGCUCGUCGAUCUGGAAGAUUAUCAGAGUAGCAGGAAGGAUAGAUUUUGCUGCUCCGCGCAAGGUGCCCUGAUCGGAGCAUAGGCAGCUUAUAUGGCCCGUCAAUUGCAGCGCAGCACUGCAAGUAGAUUGUAUCGGUGAUAAGGGAUACUACCAGGGACUGUGUGGCGAAGAAAGUUCAGGUAAGUGA
This is a long non-coding RNA of Drosophila sechellia, 816 nucleotides long. RefSeq lists it as uncharacterized. Lineage: Eukaryota; Metazoa; Arthropoda; Insecta; Diptera; Drosophilidae. The transcript has 3 exons. The record is from RefSeq and is a predicted model, not a curated record.